This 596-nucleotide ribosomal RNA is filed under the name uncultured bacterium. RNAcentral describes it as "bacterial SSU rRNA". It matches the Rfam family "Bacterial small subunit ribosomal RNA", at positions 338 to 946 of the family's 1533-position model. The record is from RNAcentral.
CCUACGGGAGGCAGCAGUGAGGAAUUUUCUGCAAUGGGCGAAAGCCUGACAGAGCAAUACCGCGUGAGGGAUGAAGGCCUAUGGGUUGUAAACCUCUUUUCCCAGGGAAGAAGAUCUGACGUUACUUGGGGAAUAAGCAUCGGCUAACCCUGUGCCAGCAGCCGCGGUAAUACAGGGGAUGCAAGUGUUAUCCGGAAUUAUUGGGCGUAAAGCGUCUGCAGGUGGAUUUAUAAGUCUUUUGUUAAAUCUUUGAGCUUAACUCAAAAUCGGCAAAAGAAACUAUUUAUCUUGAGUAUGGUAGAGGUAAAGGGAAUUUCCAGUGGAGCGGUGAAAUGCGUAGAUAUUGGAAAGAACACCAACAGCGAAGGCACUUUACUGGGCCAUUACUGACACUCAGAGACGAAAGCUAGGGGAGCAAACGGGGAUUAGAUACCCCCGGUAGUCCUAGCCGUAAACGAUGGAUACUAGAUGUUGUGUACUUUUCAGUAUGCAGUGUCGUAGCUAACGCGUUAAGUAUCCCGCCUGGGAAGUAUGCUCGCAAGAGUGAAACUCAAAGNUAAGUGACGNGNGAGAGNGACGAGACGACACGAGGAGAG